RNA transcript from Dioscorea cayenensis subsp. rotundata (Guinea yam), 918 nucleotides. RefSeq lists it as uncharacterized. Lineage: Eukaryota; Viridiplantae; Streptophyta; Magnoliopsida; Dioscoreales; Dioscoreaceae. The record is from RefSeq and is a predicted model, not a curated record. The transcript is spliced from 3 exons.
GCCGCUCGAGUAGCAACACAAGCCCUCGAGUUCCUUCUUCUUCUUCUUCUUCUUCUUCUUCUCAAGCUCUUCACCUCUCGCUUCUUCUCAUCCUUGAAAUCCAAGCAUGGUGGCAGCCUCCUCGUCGUCGUCUUCAUCGUGCACCUCUUUUGGAUCCAUUGACGAUGUCAGCGUCCGCACCAACAGCAACGUCAAGUUCGUUUGCAGCUACGGCGGCCGGAUCCUCCCCCGUUACCCUGAUGGCAAGCUCCGGUACGUCGGCGGUGAAACCAGAGUCCUCGCGGUUGAUCGAUCGAUUCCGUUCUCAGAGCUGCAGGUGAAGCUGGGAGAGCUCUGCGGUUGGGGAAGGGUGGGGCUGAGGUGUCAGCUGCCGACCGAUGACCUCGACGCGCUGGUUUCCGUCACAUCUGAUGAAGAUCUCGCUAAUCUCAUCGAGGAAUACGAUAUCGCUGCAAGAGAUAAGCCUCCUCCGUUGAAGAUCCGGGCGUUUCUCCACCCAACGCCACCGUCCAAACCCUCCAAGCCUCUACCUCGGCCACCGUUGAAAGGGAAGUCCCCGAUCCGCUCACCGCCCGAUCGCUGCGCACCGCCGCGGAUCCCGGGCCGUUUGGUCAGAUCGGCGGGCGAUUUGAGGUUUUCCGGCCACCAUGGAACCCCUAGAGGUCACCAGUUCCUUGUUCAUCACGGCAACUACUGGCAAUAGAGAUUCAGAUCUAUGGAGUAAACGAAAAAACCAAUUAUACUACGGAAAUCCAAAGGUUAAUUUAAUGGAGACGUGCGCGUGUGAACAGCUCUGAGAACUCUUCAUUAAAUUGAAGACGCCGCUGGUGAACAACCUUGGACUUUCUUUUUGGAAGAACCUUAGUUUUUUAAUUGGUUCUCUGAGUCCAAUUUUCAAAAUUAUCUUUUUAUUUAAAA